This is a long non-coding RNA of Thamnophis elegans (Western terrestrial garter snake), 1098 nucleotides long. RefSeq lists it as uncharacterized. The transcript has 3 exons. The record is from RefSeq and is a predicted model, not a curated record. Lineage: Eukaryota; Metazoa; Chordata; Lepidosauria; Squamata; Natricidae.
UCUGGAGCGGGUCUCACUCCCGGGCUCUGCCUUCCCUUUUUCUCUCCCCCCCCCCCUUUCCCUGGAAAGGAGAGGUGCAGAAACAAGGGAUCGCUGGAAGCAAACAAGGGUGGGAGUGUGUGGGGCGGGGGGGGGGGAGAGGAAGAGAGGCGGACCUCGUUGCGAAGGCUCUCCUGGCCAAAUAAAAAGCAAGGAAUCCCGAAGGAGCCGCCUCUCGGCUUCCCCCCACCCGGAUCCCUGAUUGCUAAAUCUUGGCGGGCGGGUUUGCAUUUCAAUAGAUGGAAUAAAGAGGGGAUCUUUGCAGCCCGAUCCUGUUGCAAGGAGUCAGAGUGUGCAAACAUCUACCCUGUAUUUUUGCUCACCUAGUGGAAAGCCUUCGUGUUAUGGAUUCUUAUUAUUAACACAGUUAUCCUUGCUGCACCUCAGGCCAGAGCACCGUUUCCAACUUGGCACUUUCCAAAUGGAUUGGCAUUCCUAACUCCAGGGAAUUCUGGGAGUAUAAUUGCCAGAGCGGAAGAGGAUAUCCAAGAGAAAGGGCCGUAGCAAGGUGAAGUGCACUGCAUGUAACAAAGUGCAAUACAAAAAGGAGGGUUCAGAUCCAAAUAUACUUGUAUUAGGAUUCUAGACAAAUUACAGUGACAUAAAUUAGUUCUCAACAACUUACUGACUUGAAUGAGGUUUAGAUAAUAGUUUUGGAACUAUGACCCUUUUUAUUUGAUAUAUAACAGUUACAGAAAACAUGGGCCACAUUUAAUUAAGCUGUGCUGCAAUUACAUACCGUAUAUAUGGCCUGGGGUUGUUGUUUUUUUAAAGCUUGAAAAUAGGAAAUCAAAGGAGAAAUGAAUAUUGAACACCCUAGAGUAACCUUCCAACACUUGUACCCAGUGUGGUCAAUGGCCUCACAUGUUUGAAAAAUGUAAAACUGAUCUGUAGAUUUUUUUUUUUAGCCACAUAUGUUUUUUAAAAACCUUGAACUAAAUGCAAUUCAGAAUCAUGAAUAGGAUCUUCAUUUACCUCUACCAACAUUACACCUCUGCAGAAAAUAUAUAUACCGUAUUUUUCGGAGUAUAAGACGCACCUGAGUAUAAGACGCAGCAA